GUUUGACCUCGGAUCAGGUAGGGAUA
This 26-nucleotide ribosomal RNA is filed under the name Calluna vulgaris root associated fungus. Its description in RNAcentral is "partial 28S ribosomal RNA". Lineage: Eukaryota; Fungi. The record is from RNAcentral.